This 344-nucleotide ribosomal RNA is filed under the name Augochlora amphitrite. RNAcentral's name for it is "eukaryotic LSU rRNA". Lineage: Eukaryota; Metazoa; Arthropoda; Insecta; Hymenoptera; Halictidae. The record is from RNAcentral.
AAAGAUCGAAUCGGGAGAUUCAACGAAAACGAGACCGGCUUCCGUAUGAUGCGCGAUACCCUGAAUGGUUCCCUCGUGGUUCCAAUGAGAUGGUACACCAUCUUCGGCAAAUGUUCCGGCCUCGUACGUUGUGCACUUCUCCCAUUGUAGAACGUCGCGACCCAGUUGCGUGUCGGUCUACGGCACGAGUUGUUGCCUGUCGCGUCUGUCUCGUGCGUACGCGGCAGACGCUCGAUCGCCUGGCCGGCUGCGCGACGGUACUCUGACGGUAUCGGGCCGCAAACCAAUCCAUUUUCUAGAAUGUGUGUGCGUCGGGCCCGCCGCAAGCUCUGCUAGUUUACCCG